RNAcentral lists this unclassified non-coding RNA (478 nucleotides) under Hevea brasiliensis (rubber tree). Lineage: Eukaryota; Viridiplantae; Streptophyta; Magnoliopsida; Malpighiales; Euphorbiaceae. The record is from RNAcentral.
GAGAGGAGGAGGAGAGAAGAGAAGAUGGAGAGGAGAGAAACCCUAAAAAAUAAUAGAAAAAAAGUUACUUUGAAAGAGGCGUGCCUUGCCUCGCCUAGUGCCUCAGCACCUAGGCAACUAGGUGAGAGAGGCGCUCGCUUCUUGGGACUGAGGCGUGCCUUGCCUCACCUGGUGCCUUUAUUAACACUGCAGCAAUGUAGCAUUAGGUAACUGAUUUCAUGAUUUUUAUGCUCUAUACAUGGGAAUUUCUUUCUUGACAAAGUACAUGAAAUUUCUUCAAAGAAGACAGAAUUCGGGUUGUACAAGGAAACUGUAAAAUGGAAAAACCUGAAUAAACUGAAUGAACUCAAGCCAAAAUUGGUGGGUUUAGACAUCGACACGUUGGCUGCUGGUUGCAAAUAAAGAACCAAAUUUUUGGCUUGGGUUUCGGGUUAAAGCAUUAAAAGUGUAGAUUAAUCCAACCCAAACCGAAUGUAUA